This 72-nucleotide transfer RNA is filed under the name Dermacentor andersoni. RNAcentral describes it as "transfer RNA glutamic acid (anticodon CUC)". It matches the Rfam family "tRNA". Rfam says of the family: Transfer RNA (tRNA) molecules are approximately 80 nucleotides in length. Lineage: Eukaryota; Metazoa; Arthropoda; Arachnida; Ixodida; Ixodidae. The record is from RNAcentral.
UCCGGCGUGGUCUAGUGGCUAGGACACCUGGCUCUCACCCAGGAGGCCAGGGUGCGAUUCCCGGCGUCGGAA